GCAAGCGUUAAUCGGAAUUACUGGGCGUAAAGCGCACGCAGGCGGUCUGUCAAGUCGGAUGUGAAAUCCCCGGGCUCAACCUGGGAACUGCAUUCGAAACUGGCAGGCUUGAGUCUUGUAGAGGGGGGGAGAAUUCCAGGUGUAGCGGUGAAAUGCGUAGAGAUCUGGAGGAAUACCGGUGGCGAAGGCGGCCCCCUGGACAAAGACUGACGCUCAGGUGCGAAAGCGUGGGGAGCAAACAGGAUUAGAUACCCUGGUAGUCCACGCCGUAAACGAUGUCUACUUGGAGGUUGUGCCCUUGAGGCGUGGCUUCCGGAGCUAACGCGUUAAGUAGACCGCCUGGGGAGUACGGCCGCAAGGUUAAAACUCAAAUGAAUUGACGGGGGCCCGCACAAGCGGUGGAGCAUGUGGUUUAAUUCGAUGCAACGCGAAGAACCUUACCUGGUCUUGACAUCCACAGAACUUUCCAGAGAUGGAUUGGUGCCUUCGGGAACUGUGAGACAGGUGCUGCAUGGCUGUCGUCAGCUCGUGUUGUGAAAUGUUGGGUUAAGUCCCGCAACGAGCGCAACCCUUAUCCUUUGUUGCCAGCGGUCCGGCCGGGAACUCAAAGGAGACUGCCAGUGAUAAACUGGAGGAAGGUGGGGAUGACGUCAA
RNAcentral lists this ribosomal RNA (654 nucleotides) under Salmonella enterica subsp. enterica serovar Typhi. RNAcentral describes it as "bacterial SSU rRNA". It matches the Rfam family "Bacterial small subunit ribosomal RNA", at positions 534 to 1188 of the family's 1533-position model. Lineage: Bacteria; Pseudomonadati; Pseudomonadota; Gammaproteobacteria; Enterobacterales; Enterobacteriaceae. The record is from RNAcentral.